AUGGUGGCCGGCGUGCGGCUCGGGGACCGAGAUGGGGAUGAAGGUGGCGGGCUCGCUGGUGUGGCGCACGUGCUUGGUGGCCGGGCGGGCCACCCUGGAGAGGCUGGGGUGCACUGGUGGAGGCUGGUUCUCCUGGUGGGACGCGCGGCUGGAGCGCUUCUUGGAGCUGCGCCGGGCACCGCGGGGGGACAGCACCUCAGCAAGCUUGGGGUCGAAGCCGUAGCCUUCGUGUCCUUGGGGACGCGCCGGCGCAGAUCUCUGCUCCGAGAGGAUGGGCUCGCUGCUGGACGGCGGGAUGCUGCCCUCCAGCUCGCUGAUGGCCUCGCCGGGACCCUCGAAGGCGCCGGCCGGCAGCUCGCCGCGCCGGCUGGGGUCGCUCAGCGACUUCUUCUUGAUGGUCUUGCCGUUGCCCUUCUCGUCGAUGACUUUGUCCAUCGCGCCGGGCUGGCUGACGAUGGUCUGGAUGAGGCUGCUGUAGUCCCGCAGCCCGUCGCUGCCCAGGGACAGGUCGCUGCCUGCGCUGCCCGCGUGGCCGGCCAGCGCGAUGGCCGCGGGCUGGGGGAUGCCCCCCUUGGCGCUCAGCGAACCCAGCAGGUUGCUGUCGACGGAGAAAUUCUUUGCCUCCUCCGCCACUGGGCAUCGCCGGUGGGGCAUGGGGUCACUCAGGGAGCGGUAGGGCUCACCGCCACCCUCCCCGAUGCCGCUGUCGGCCCCGUUGGUGCCCACCGAGGGGAAUUUCCGCCGGCGCCGCAAGCUGCUGGGGGUGCUCGGGGCCUCCAGCGGCACUUGGGCUUUGCCUGCCACAGGGACGUCUUCCAGUGCCAUGGCCUGAGCCGGGGGCAGCGGCGGCUCGGUUGCAGUCUCAGCAGCAUCAGGCAACUGCCAGGCGGCCACGGCCUCAUGCAAGUCCCCCAAGGCCACCCCAGUGGGCCCCGGCUCCGGCUCGGUGACGAUGCCCUCGUCCGUCACGCUCGACUCGUGACCCAGCAACUCCUCCACUGA
RNAcentral lists this long non-coding RNA (1002 nucleotides) under Anser brachyrhynchus (Pink-footed goose). RNAcentral's name for it is "lncRNA (ENSABRG00000018316.1)". Lineage: Eukaryota; Metazoa; Chordata; Aves; Anseriformes; Anatidae. The record is from RNAcentral.